Molecule: ribosomal RNA, 195 nt
Filed under: uncultured bacterium
Lineage: Bacteria
Description: partial 16S ribosomal RNA
Rfam family: Bacterial small subunit ribosomal RNA
Source: RNAcentral
ACGCUCGACACCUACGGGGGGCAGCAGUGGGGAAUAUUGCACAAUGGGGGAAACCCUGAUGCAGCGACGCCGCGUGAAGGAAGAAGUAUCUCGGUAUGUAAACUUCUAUCAGCAGGGAAGAAAAUGACGGUACCUGACUAAGAAGCCCCGGCUAACUACGUGCCAGCACGCCGAGUAUCNGNGGCGGNGNGAGAG